UUUUUUUUUUUUUUUAAGAUUUCUUUAUUUAUGAGAGAGAGAGAGAAAGAAAGCGCAUAAGCAGGAGAGGCAGAGGGAGAGGGAGAGAGGAUCUCAGGCAGACUCCAGGCUGAGCUUGGAGCCUGACACAGGGCUCAAUCUCAGGACCCCGAGAUGACAACCUGAGCUGAAACCAAGAGUCAGCUGCUUAACUGACUGCGCCACUCACAUGCCCCUUAAGUUUUUUAACACAAAAUAAAAUAAAUAGGACAACACAAUGGAAAAAGAUAAUAGAUUAUUUGAUUGCAUUGCUGUAUUUUUUAGAGGGGAAAAUUCAUACUUAUAUAUUGAUCUAUUGUAGUAUGACAAUAAAAUUAUAGUUUCUGUCAUUUUAAUCUUGUUCUACAAACUUGUCAAUGAUUUUGUCAAAAUUCUUUUCUUUACAUCUUUAUGUUCAGUAGACAAUAUAAUUCUUUUUGGGUCAAGAAUGCCUUUUAAAUUAAUUGUAAUGUCAUAAAGUUUCCUUUGUUACAGGAUUUCUUUUCCUUCAGUGUCCCCAGGGUUCUUGGUCAUGCUGCUUGGAAGGAUGAACAUGUAGACCCGAUGAAGACAGGUGGACAGCAAAGAAAAGUUUAUGGAGCAAUAGUAAAGUUUACAGGGUGAUAGUACAAAGGUCUCAAAGAGGGAAGGGACCUGAGAAGGUUGCCGAUUUGGUGUUCAGAUCUAGGGGGUUUUAUGGGCUUGUUAGCAGGCAGUUUUAAUCUGAUUAACCCUCCAUGCUCCUAGUACCCAAUCAAGUUUUUAUCAUCUACUUAUCAUAUGGAGGAAGAGGGUGGAGGGCUUCUUUCAGGGUGGUGUAAAAUCCUUUUAAGGAUGAUUUUGUCUCAGGGCUGGGCAGUGCGGGGCUUGUCCCUGUCUGCCUUUCUUCCAUCUAUCUUUCAUUACUUUCACAUGAAAGAACAGAUAUACAAAUAGCUAAGAAGACUCUUAAACAUAAGCAUAAGCCUGUCAAAGUUCCACAAAAGUCUCGUUUCAUAAUAAAUUCCAGAAACUGCAUACUGUCCAUGUCUUUUUUUAUCAGUUCUAGUUCCUUCCACAUGUUUUCAUGAUCAGAAAAGUUCCACAGAGCACUUACACCAGAAAUUCAUCUUAAAUUUCUAUUAUCUUGAGUAAAAAAUGAAGUUUUUCUUCUGAUUUAGGACUCAUACAGAGAUCGUGAUGAAAAUGAUCAGGAUAUUCAAACAAUGCCUUGUUAUUUCUCCAGCAACAUUAAGACCACUAUCUUAUGUUAUUUCUCCAGAUAUUUUUCUUCUAACUUGAUUCCUUAAUCUAUGUAAAUGUUCAAUACACUUUAUGUAUUUAAUAGCCUUUCCCUCCAUUUUUUGUGCACCAUUUUUCAAGGAACAAGUUUGAAGGUUGCUGUUUUCACUAUACCAUUAAACUGAUUCCAGCUGUUGCAACUAUAUUUAGGUCUUUACCACACCAGAAAGAAAAUGCAAUUCAGAAAAGAAAAAUCACAUACAGAUAUCUUUAUUUCCGAUGUACUGUUCAAAAGUGACAAUAUAUAGUACCACAGGAGUUGGAAAUAUAAACUACGGCAAAGGCAAGCUUGAAAGAUUCUGAACAAUUACAAAUUCUCUCUUGAAAUGAACUUACUAGCCAAAUCCAUGUGUAUUGGAGGCCAACAGCAUAGCAGGACUUCUGUGAAUUCAUUACCAUGUAAAAUGUUUACUUAAGAGAUGAAUUAAAUUUGCUAAUUUAAAAAAGGAGAUUUUAUUUAUUCAUGAGAGACACACAGAGAGAGGCAGAGACACAGGCAGAGGGAGAAGCAGGCUCCCUGUGGGGAGCCCAAUGCAGGACUCCAUCCCAGGACCCUGGGAUCACACCCUGAGCCAAAGGCAGAUGCUCAACCACUGAGCCACCCAAGUGUCCCUAAAUGUGCCAAUUUAAAGCAUAUAUAUAUAUAUAUUAUUGAAACUCAACUGCCAUCGUAGGAAAUAUUUAGAAAUUAGACCAGAAAAAUAUUUUUCCCCCACUGGAAGUGCUUAAGAAUUGCUGGACAUGGUGAUAAUUUAAAAGCAGACCAACUGUUCAUCAGUUUCAUUAUGUUUUUAAAUUUUCUACAGGAAAUGUACCCCCUGAUUGUCUGUAUCCCAGGUGGAUUGAAUAUCCAACCCCUGCUCAAAUACAGAUGGAUGAUCACAUAACUAUCCACUUACUAGAAUAGAAAAUAGGCAAACCCUCAACAGACCUAGAACAAGCAAUACAAUCAGGAAGCUGCAAAUGCCUCUCUUGAUGCCUUUAAGGUUAAGUUAAAGUUUUUCAUCAUGAUGAUGUGGAUAGAGUUUUAUCACUCUGUAUUCCAGGAUCUCCUUAAAAAGUUGAGUCAUUAACAGUAGUCCUAGUUUCAGUAGUUUCUGGGAGAAAAGAGACAUUUGCAGAAAUUCCUAACCCAUAUAGUCCAUUUCUAUGGGAUUCGAGUCUUCUCCCUAACAAUGAAAUGUGGCCUUUUCUUAAACAGAGCCCUGUUCCCACACAUUUCUGGUGAGACACACUCAAAAAACCAAACCAAACAUAAACAGAUAAAAUGUGCCUUUUGCUCAGACACAGAAACCACAUUGUGGGUGGAGAAAUAGGAAUGUCCUCUUAAUGUCAUAUAACCCCUGCACCUGUCCCAAAGUCAGCAUACCUUCUGCAAAAAAGGCAAGGCAACCACUUAGCUCAUGGGAAAGAAGAGUGGCCAAACCCAGCUGAGUUGCAGUGGCAGAAAUUCAGGAAAACAUAAUGAAGCGCAUGUUGGAAUGUCAGUGAUAUAUGCAAUGUCUUCCUUCUACUGGAGAAAAAUCCUUAUUUUUCCUAUAAAUAAUUCCUUUGGAAAUAUCUCUAUGGAAGAAACAAAAGUCCUAAGAUUUCUAACUUCACUUCUGAGUUUCUUCUGUUUUUUCCCCUACCCUGUCUAGCCACCCAGAGCUCAGUUAAUCCUCCUGAAAAUAAAAUACUUUUGCCGUUGUUUCCAGCCUUAUUCUCUUGGCCAUUAUGUUUUCAUGCCAGCUCCUCAACCAUGAUUAUAUGAUCCGUGUAUCAGUGAAACAAAGCUCAGAAUAAGCCCGAGACCUUGGGAUGUUCACCUCAUAGCUCAUUUUGACAGAUUUAUUUAAGGAGGGGUUUUUGUUGUUGCUGUUGCUGGGUUUAUUGCUUUUUUUUGCUUUGUUUUGUUAUUUUACUGUUUUUUUUUCCUUUUCCAAUUAAAAAUAUCUCCAGGUUCAAGGCCAAAUUCAUAUACUUAUGUAGUGGAUUCCUUGGGAUUAGUCUCCAUAGGAGCUACCUCUCCUGCCAAGCCACAGAGUGCAUCAGACCCUCCCCUCUGUGAAAAGGACAAAUUCCUGGGGUUCUGAAACUUUGCUUAAUGCCAAAGUGCAGUGUGCU
This 3405-nucleotide long non-coding RNA is filed under the name Canis lupus familiaris (dog). RNAcentral's name for it is "lncRNA (ENSCAFG00845014673.1)". The record is from RNAcentral. Lineage: Eukaryota; Metazoa; Chordata; Mammalia; Carnivora; Canidae.